This 465-nucleotide ribosomal RNA is filed under the name uncultured bacterium. Its description in RNAcentral is "partial 16S ribosomal RNA". It matches the Rfam family "Bacterial small subunit ribosomal RNA", at positions 28 to 507 of the family's 1533-position model. The record is from RNAcentral.
GACGAACGCUGGCGGCGUGCUUAACACAUGCAAGUCGAACGGAAAGGCCCCUUUGGGGGUCCUCGAGUGGCGAACGGGUGAGUAACACGUGAGUAACCUGCCCUUGACUUCGGGAUAACUUCAGGAAACUGGGGCUAAUACCGGAUAGGAAUCCUUGCUGCAUGGUGGGGGUUGGAAAGCUUCGGCGGUUUUGGAUGGACUCGCGGCUUAUCAGCUUGUUGGUGGGGUAGUGGCUUACCAAGGCUUUGACGGGUAGCCGGCCUGAGAGGGCGACCGGCCACAUUGGGACUGAGAUACGGCCCAGACUCCUACGGGAGGCAGCAGUGGGGAAUAUUGCACAAGGGGCGGAAGCCUGAUGCAGCAACGCCGCGGGCGGGAUGACGGCCUUCGGGUUGUAAACCGCUUUCAGCAGGGGCGAAGCUUGUGGUGACGGUACCUGCAGAAGAAGCACCGGCUAACUACGUG